This is a long non-coding RNA of Ochotona curzoniae (black-lipped pika), 521 nucleotides long. RefSeq lists it as uncharacterized. Lineage: Eukaryota; Metazoa; Chordata; Mammalia; Lagomorpha; Ochotonidae. The record is from RefSeq and is a predicted model, not a curated record. The transcript is spliced from 3 exons.
AUUUGGGAUAAACUGUUCAAAUAAACUCAUUUGGGGUCUUGUCAGCGAUCAUCCACACACUGUUUGGGUGGUAGAAUUCUUUGGUUUGCUUUAAUCUGUUCUCCACUACCUGCUUUCCCUUGCUUGACUGUAGUAUUUUUUAAGUCCUGUGCACAAAGAUGGAACGCCCCACCAUCUGGCUUAUUCUCAUUAUUGUUCCUCAGGGUUGGCUCAUGUUAAACACUUUAACCAAGAAAAAAGGUUGUGUCUUACAUGCAGUAAAGACCAAAAAGAUAUUCAGGACUUUUAACCAAGCUAUUUGUUCAGAGCAAAAGUUAUUGUGACAGUAAUGUUUAAUUUGGGGGUAGGAAAAUGUAAACUUUUGCCAUAAUACAGAUAAUAUGUAAAAAGGAGGAGAUGAUUUUGUGAGUGUUUAAAAUUCGUUAUUUAAUCAUUUGUUUGAAAGCCAAAGAGAGAGAUCUUCCAUCCACUGAUUUAGUCCUCAGUGGUGACAGUAGAGCGGUUGGAGACAAGAACUCCAC